AUGAUACGCGAGGAACCGUUACCUGGGCUUAAAUGCUUAUGACGUACUGGGAAACUGGUAUUUCUUCGGACAUUUUGCAAGGUGCUGCAUGGUUGUCGUCAGCUCGUGCCGUGAGGUGUCGGGUUAAGUCCCAUAACGAGCGCAACCCCUAUUGUUAGUUGCCAUCAGGUCAUGCUGGGGACGUCUAACAAAACUAGCCCGCGUAAGCGUGGAGGAAGGUGGGGAUGACGUCAAAUCAGCACGGCCCUUACGUCCAGGGCUACACACGUGCUACAAUGGCCGGUACAGAGGGCAGCCACUUGGUGACAAGGAGCAAAUCUCAAAAGCCGGUCUCAGUUCGGAUCGGAGGUCUGCAACUCGACUCCGUGAAGUUGGAUUCGCUAGUAAUCGUAGAUCAGCAAUGCUACGGUGAAUACGUUCCCGGGCCUU
Molecule: ribosomal RNA, 429 nt
Filed under: uncultured Bacteroidota bacterium
Lineage: Bacteria; Pseudomonadati; Bacteroidota
Description: bacterial SSU rRNA
Rfam family: Bacterial small subunit ribosomal RNA
Source: RNAcentral